UCGCGGCGAAGGUGGCUGCCGAAGUGGGCGGGGAGGUCAGGUGACCCUGCCGGCGUCCCAAGAUGGCGACGGCGGUGGCGCCCAGGAGGCCAAGGCAGCGUCCGGGCUGUUGAGGUGACUCCGCGGGGCAAGCGACGGGUCGGCCGGACCGAAGGGCGGCGGCGGACGCACGGCCGCCUCGCGUGCGCAGCCGGGGCUGGGCGGUGCCGCAGCGGCACCGGGGGAUGCUGGUGCUGGGCCGGGCCUCUCACUCCUCAACUUAGGGCGGCGGCGGGCCCGCACCCCUGGUUCCCGGGCCAUGGCGCUGAGGGAACUCAAAGUGUGCCUGUUGGGGGAUACGGGUGUGGGUAAAUCGAGCAUAGUAUGGCGGUUCGUGGAGGACAGUUUUGAUCCGAAUAUCAAUCCAACCAUAGGGGCAUCCUUUAUGACCAAGACUGUCCAGUACCAAAAUGAGCUACAUAAAUUCCUAAUCUGGGAUACAGCUGGACAAGAACGAUUCCGUGCCUUGGCACCGAUGUACUAUCGAGGCUCAGCGGCAGCCAUCAUCGUCUAUGACAUCACAAAAGAAGAGACAUUUUCAACGUUGAAGAACUGGGUGAGAGAGCUCCGCCAGCACGGCCCCCCUAGCAUUGUUGUUGCCAUUGCAGGGAACAAAUGCGAUCUUAGCGAUGUCAGAGAAGUCAUGGAGAGAGAUGCGAAGGACUACGCCGACUCCAUUCAUGCCAUCUUUGUAGAGACCAGCGCAAAGAAUGCAAUAAACAUAAAUGAACUCUUUAUAGAAAUUAACAGACAGAAAGCCUCUCUCUGCCUGGUGCUGUGCCACAGAGAUCUGGGAGUGCCACAGUGGAAAACAGGCAAGACUGGAGGGCCCGGUCUAGUAUGAGGAUGCCAGUCACACAGAAAACAAGUCCAGCAUGUUGCUGAUGUCCUGGUGCUUUAUGGCCGAAGAAUUCCAUCCACAGAUGCCAACCCGCCGUCCGGCGGCAAGGGCUUCAAACUCCGAAGACAGCCAUCAGAGCCAAAGCGAAGCUGCUGCUGAUGACCCAGGCCCCACACUGAUGAAGAAGCAGGUGGUCCUGGACGGUGCAGGAGGACCAGUCCCUGCCAUUGGCAACCGCCUCGUGCCCUGGAGUCUUCUUCAUGCAAAAAGGACUCAGAGGAACUGGCUGUUGGGUUCUCUUGGAAAACUGCAGCAGGUGUUUCCAUCUGCAGACUUCUGGUGCGGACUCUGGCUUGCAAAGGGACCACAUCCUUGGCUAUUGACCUAGCUGAAAGGAGCAUCUGAUAUAUGGAUGGUAGGAUUGAAUUGCUGGUGCUUUUGUAAUCAGGAUGUCAUGUAUCAUUUGUAAAGGGAAAUGAGCACUUUCAUGGAUCUUAAGGGAAAAGGCUACGGAGAUGGUCAUCUCCUUGGUCCUUGUCUCUAGUGUCAGCGUUGCGUCAUUUAAGAUAUAGAAAGUGAUCACAGUGGAGGGACGCUUGUUCCUGGGACAGUCUCCACCAUCUCUAAAGCACUUUCCUACACAGUAAAUUAACACACAGCGGCAGCCUGACUCACCUUGGGUUUACUUCUGACCCUGUUUAUGUCACCACAUAUUAUUAGUUUUAUCAUUACCUUUCUAAAUAAGUUCUUGUGGCCCAGGGAAUGGUGUAGAGACACUCCUUGGAGCCAGUUGAGUUACAUGUGUCUACACUGAUAAACAGUGGUUUAAAAGGAAGAGAGAAAGAACAAAGGAAAUGGUUUUUUGUUUUUUGGCCCAGGUAUUUUAAUGGGGAAAAAAAAUGUGUGCUGCCUAGCAAAUGUAUAUUUGUAGUCUAUAUUUAUGAGACCGUUGCUUUAAAAUUAUAAAUUAUGUAAAUACAUUAAUAACUUCUGAAUUCUGUUCAGUACUCCAUUUAGUCCUAUACCCCGUCUCACGUGUGCCGCCCCCCCCCCCUUUUUCAGCUGGUCCACAGAAUAUUUUGAAGCACAUUCACCUUGUGCAGAAGCAUAGAGCACUUAGCUCACAGCCUGCUUCCUCUUCCCGAGCCCCUCUGCAUCCCAUCUGGAAAUGGUAAUAAAGACAUAUGCCUCCUGGACAAGCCUGACCAGUCCUUCCUAGCCUGGGGCGAGGGAGAGCCCAGCACCCGUCACUCACCUGGCUUUGACAGUAGCAAGCUCAAACCAACUGUGUUCAGAGUGCUUUGCUUGUUAACAGCCGGCUCACCUCGUCCUCCUUUAUUUUCUCUUGCCUCUGUUAGUGCUUUGCACUCUUUUCCCUCAGGAGCCUAAUGAGGUUCUUAAUAUAAUCUAAAAAUAAAGCCCCCAAGUGAAACUGCUGGAAAUUUGUUCCUGGCCUGAUUUGGCACCCUUCCAGCCCGAGUAUUGUAAGGGAAGGAAAUUUACAAGAUUAAAUAGGAAAUGAAACAGCUUGAAUUUCAAACCAAAUGUGUUUUCAGAGCGGUCCUUAACUGAACAGUCAAAACUUUUCAAAACAAUUGUUACUACUUUGUGCCACUCCCCUAUAUGCUUAAAAUGGAGAGGUGUUAACGGAGGGUGACCCAGGUGGCCCAGACUGAGCGAGGCCAUGUAAGCGUCAGUUGUUCAUCCUCACUGAGAUCAGGCUUCCAGCACCUUGUGUACUGAGCCUCCUGCACAGUGUCCAGUUCACACGCAUGUAGAGAAAACCCUGUGAUUUCCCGAGACUGGCUCCUUCCACCUGUGGUGGCUUGAUAGGACUUGACAUAGACCUGCAGGAGGGUGUGUCUCCAACAGUCCCACGCCAAACCUCCAUCUCCAGGACAAAACAAAAACAAAGCUGCUUGGCUCAUGUGGACAAGGCUGCCCAUGUGAGACCCUUUCUGACUUGUUUCACCUAAAGAUGGUAUAAAUUUAUCAUCUGAACAGCCCAGUAGAUUCUGGAAGUCGUGGCACAUCCCGUGGCUGAUCUCCUCUGUGGCACGUGGUAGCUUCUCUCGCUAACUCCCUCUCGUGCCACAUGUAGGGAGUGACUCUGGCCAUGGCUGCAUGUCUUACCAACAGGAUGAGCAGCAUGAACCCUCUGUUCGUGUCUUUCUUGCCCUCUCUGUCACCAGUCUGUCCAAGAAGGGGGCCGCCCUGCUUGUGGUAUCAUGUACUGCUUAAUGACAGCAGGUUCAGACUCCGUGAACACAGUGAGAUCUCCAUUUACUUUCUUAGAAAAUGCACAGUAAAAUGAAGUCAGACGUAGUGCUUUAUUUUGACCACAUUUCAGAUUAAAUAGGAAUCUAAUACAUUAUUUCUUAUUUUCCUGGGGUUUUUUCUUAAGAGAAAUAUCCAGACUCCAAGGGCAUUAAGACAUAGCCCCUCCAUAAAAAUCUGGUUCCCUAUGAUGCAGGGCCAUUUUUAAAAAUUUUGAAGACUGACCAGAAAGGGAAAGAUCUUUUAAUUAACUGCCAGUGUGUAUUGAUUUCUUUCAGAGAAAUUGACAUAAGCUCCUUGCAGGUGUCCAGUCCUAGCAACCACUGGUCUCUCCAUCUCUUCUUUUACAUAAGUGUUUUUCUGAUUCUGUGAUAACUAAUUAGCUAUCAUUUGAUGAUUAAAAGAACAUAAAGUGAGAGUCUGAUUAAGUGUCCUUCAGUGUAAACUCUGUGAGAAGUGAUUGGAGAGAAAUACCUACUGCAAGCCCUUCCGGUUCCCAGUGAAGCGCCAUUGCCUGCUUGUCAGCCGCACCCAAGACAAGCACUGUGCACGGCAACCGAAAGAUUUAUUGUAAAUUAACCUGGGUCCUUGUUCCCGUUUAUGAUGAUGUUUGAAGUACCCGCCUCCUCUCAUUGUGCUCCCGUUCCUUGGACGCCUACCCAGGUCAAAGGACCGAAAUUUUCUUAUGAGAGUCAUGGCUACUUGAAGAGGCCAGUGUUGUUGUUGAGAUUAGCUGUCCUCUGGAUUUUUAAAUAUGCCGGGGGAGUGGGGGUGGCCCACAUUGAAUUUUAGAACUUGUCUGUAAGUCUUACAUUUGUUCCUUGUCUCCAGGAGGAAAGUGGGUAUGGGGGCUUUCUAAAGCUCUUAAGAGACACAGCUCCAAGUGUCCUGUAGGUGGCUGUCACCUGGCACCCAAAGGGCUACCAAACCAGAGGGUCUGCUGCGGUAUUUCAAGGGUACCGUGUUUGAAUGGGUGGGUUCAGUUUGGGGUACACUGCAUGCCAGCACGUGGGCCUCCACAUCCCAAAAGGCAGUAGUUCACUGCCUUCUGUCUUUUCGAUUGCAGAAGAGGCUGAUGGGGUUCAGCUCAGCAUCCUCACUCAUUCUUUCAGAACCCACAGAGACUGUGACAUGUGGGCCCUUACACUAUGUGAUCUCUGUAACUGGCCCUUGGACACCCAUGUGUCUGCAGACCCUGCAGGGGUCAGGAGAGAACCCUCCUGGGCAAAGGUAGCUGGGACGCUUAGUUCUGCCCUAACCUCCAACCCUGCUUCAGAGCAUGGCAGCCGGACAGGUGGCUUGUAUCACAGAACUUAGCAGGCUCCUUAGCCUGAUUCUGGUGAGCACAGAAUGACAGUGGGGAGCUAGGUCAUGGAAUUCCUUGGAAGUCCUUUUUUAAAUUUGUUUUGAAGGGACAAACAACACAAUUUUUAAUUGUUUGAUUUCAUCAGUUUUUAAGGAAGAAAUCGGAUGUACCUUCAAGAUUCAAGCUGUUAACUAUGCCUUCCUUACGGCGGGGGUGGGGGGACUUGGUUGAUAAAAGGUGAUGGUUUAAGAUAGCCCAUGAAUGGUUUUUUUUAAUGGGUCGGUGAGAUGUCUCAGCAGGUAAAGGCACUUGCUGCCAAGGCUGAUGACACAAGGUCAAUCCCUGGAACCCUCAUAGUGGAAGGAGAAGAAGUCCACAAGUUGUCCUCCGAUCUCCACAUGUCCUCCCACACCACACACACAGACACAUCAACAAAUGUCAUAAUUAAAAAAAUAUCCUGAGCAGCCAGUUAUUUAGAAGACAAGCAGAACACAGUGCAGUUUUAAAAGAGGAAGAUCAGGUAGAGUUUAGCCUGAGACUUAGAAGAAUGGCCUCAGUGGAUUUCCUGUGACAGCGGAGAGGCUUGUCUCGACUUCAGUAAUAGAAAACCAGGCAGUUUGAUUAUCUGAUCUGCGAGAAAUGUUAAUGGAAUGCCAGGGCAUUUGUCCUGUUUUAUGUGCAAAUGAAACUCUAAAAAAUAUUAGAAGGGUAUUGCCCUUCUCAGGAGCCUUCCUUAUGCAUCUCAGAGGGUGAUGAGUGAGGGACCUACCCUGAUGAACUUCAUCAGAUGUGCUGAGAAGGGCAGAUGAAUAGAGCUUGGAAUCGUCGUAUUUCUCAGCUCGUCCUUCAGGAUGCUCUGAGCCUGGAGGAGUGAUUUACUCUCUGGAGCUAGGACUUCUACCAGCAUAGAUCAAGUUUAAUUUGAUGCUCUGUACCAUCAGAAAUAACUAAUAUCUGUGUUCUUUCCUCUCAGAGGGUAAUCAAUUAGAGAUGUGCUAGAAUAUUUUUGGCUUCAAAACAAAAGGAUUCGGAAAUUUAAUAAAAAAAAAAAAAAAACUCAGACCUUCCAUCGAUUCCUUUUCAUUAUGUUGAACAUUUCAGAUAGCAAGAUUAGAAUGUAUAAAUAGAUGGUGAGAUUAAAACCAUAAUGUCUAAAAAACUUGCAGAAAAAAAAUGUUUUAAUUUGCUGUGAGUUCAUUUUACAGUGUCCAGUGCCUCAUCAAAAUGCUGCAUAAUUACAACAAGCAAAAACCCGGGUAGCUCUCCACAGACAGGACUUAAGUGCCAAGCUCUGUCUGCCAAUUAAUAGAGAGUCCUAAGACAGUCAUGAUUUUUUUUUUUUUUUAAAGAGCCUCCUUUAAUUGACAGUCUUCAAGCAUGGGUCUUCAUGUCCUCCUUAAUGGCACUGUAGAAACAGCCUGCUGCUUUCCUCAGGCCACUUCUUGAUUCAGGAACUUGGCAGUGUUUAGAGGCAGGUUGUGUAUAGACAGUCCAUUGAAGUGAAUCAUCUUUACACAGAACUGACAUUGUCAAGGAGGCCCCAGGGCAUCUAAAACCAAGUUGUGUGUUUCAUCUACCACUCCACAAAGCAGGUUUUGAGUCACUUGCUCAACCAGGCUGGAGUCCACCCCAUGCUCCCCCGCUCCAGACCAUUGGGAGACCCUGCCCGCAGUACUGUUUGCUUUGAGGACUAGUCCUCACAUCAUUUGACCAUCUUUAACACUUGGCAUUUAUAUUUAAAUUAUCCUGAACUUUUUUCCCUCUCAUCCCUGUUUGAGGUUACUACAUGGUGCAUGAAACUUUCUCAACUUGGGUCAUGCCCAUGAUGUCAGAGGGACCAGUCAGAUUGGUGGGGGAGGAUGAAUGGCAGCUGAUCUGGGCUCUAUUUUUAAACCAUUUGUUGUGUUCUGUAGACAGAGCUUUAUUGCCCCAAGGAGGAUCUUUUUUAUUUUUUUAAACGUCCCACUCAGUCUUUCCAUCAUUGUACAUCAUGAGUCACUCACACCAUCAUCAAUCACUGCUCUGACCUUCAGAAAUUAUGGCCUGCCUUUUAUAUGGUUGACACUGAAUUCUUGCCUUACUCUUGAUUUUCUAUGGGCUCUCCCUCAGGCAUCCUGCCCCAGCCACCUCAGCACACAUGACCUGCCCUUCCCUGGGGAGUAAAGACACCCCCCCCAGGACUUCCAGAAGGGCAGCAGGCAGCAUGAGCCUACAAGGCAAACACAACUGAGUGACAGAAAGCAUUCUGUCCCAGGUGAUAGGACAGUGGGCUGACGUAUCAGACCCCCACGGAGUGUGGAGGAAAGCACUUGUUGAGUUUCCAAGUCCAAACAAAACAUCUAAACAGGAAGGAAAACCUGAGCCCUAGUACCAGCAAUCCUCCUUACUCCUGAGAGCGCCAUCCCUUUAUCCAGAUCCAGUGCAAGGAGUAAGUGCCUUGUGCCUUUUUUUAAAUAGCAUCUGUAUGAAAAUUGAGUUGUUCCUGGUUUCCCAAGCCUGGUAGCACUCUAAACAACCUGAACUGAAAGCCGAUGAUGGACUGCCUGGUUACCUGGAACACAAUACUGGAAUGAGGGUUUGCCAAGCCUGGAUGGGUGUUUGAUGACCAUUUUUGCAGUCUGACCUUGGGCUGGACCUAAGUCUAUGUAAACUGUAUGAUGUCUGUUUUGUUUGUAAACACUGAAAAAUGGACACUCCGCCUUUUGCUUUUUGUUGUAAGAUUUUUCUUUUGUGUACUUCUGUUUGCAGAUGGUAAAUCUGGAAUACUUUGGAACAGUGUUUCUUCAGCUUGACUUCUGUGUAUGCUUUUAUAGAGUAUGGCAUGCUCCAUCACUAUAAAAUUUGUGUCGAGAGAGGUGUAAACAUUUUGUUAAUAAAAUGCUAUGUUUACAGAUGCA
Molecule: non-coding RNA, 7360 nt
Organism: Peromyscus maniculatus bairdii (prairie deer mouse)
Lineage: Eukaryota; Metazoa; Chordata; Mammalia; Rodentia; Cricetidae
Source: RefSeq, a predicted model, not a curated record